GAGAGACAGAGAGAGAGAGAGAGAGAGAGAGAGAGGGGGGAGAGAGAGACAGAGAGAGAGAGGUUAUAGAAGUGAAUCUCAUUCUGGUUCAGUGAGAGAUACAGGCAGGCUUCUCUCUCACACAAACAGCAACUGCCACCAGUUGGUCUCUCUAUAGCCUACAAUGUUGCAUAGAACAUAAACCCGCAAAUCAUAAACCCGCAAAACAUAAACCCGCAAAACAUAAACCCGCAAAACAUAAACCCGGGCUGGCCCAAUUCCAAUCAACUCUCAGAACAUCAGGCACUAUGUGUUUAAUUAAAGGGGACAGUUGAAUUACAGAUGAGGUAACUGAAAUGAUCUCGGAUCGCUUUCAUUUCAAUGUUUACAUUUCAAACAAUAAAAAGUAUGAAUGAAAUGAAUGUUCCAGAAUGAAACAGUCCCAAACUGAGAGGUGUCGAAUCCUGUUCACUGAGGUAAACAUAUCUGACUGAGAGGACAACACUGAGGUAAACAUAUCUGACUGAGAGGACAACACUGAGGUAAACAUAUCUGACUGAGAGGACAACACUGAGGUAAAUAUAUCUGACUGAGAGGACAACACUGAGGUAAAUAUAUCUGAGAGGACACAAUCAGAAAGAUGUGUGUGUUUUGCUUUUCUCUAUCAGAGAACUCAGAGACAGAAGAGAAGGCUUUUUCCAUGGCGCCGGCCCAUUCCACUGUGGCCCUGGUAGAGACGGGGUGUGAGGGGAAGACGACCCGUGGAAUUUACCAGAACUACAGGACGGAGCGGCAGCAUGGUCAG
Molecule: long non-coding RNA, 784 nt
Organism: Oncorhynchus tshawytscha (Chinook salmon)
Lineage: Eukaryota; Metazoa; Chordata; Actinopteri; Salmoniformes; Salmonidae
Source: Ensembl